GGAUGAACGCUGGCGGCGUGCCUAAUACAUGCAAGUCGAGCGAACAGAUGAGGAGCUUGCUCCUCUGACGUUCGCGGCGGACGGGUGAGUAACACGUGGAUAACCUACCUAUAAGACUGGGAUAACUUCGGGAAACCGGAGCUAAUACCGGAUAAUAUAUUGAACCGCAUGGUUCAAUAGUGAAAGACGGUUUUGCUGUCACUUAUAGAUGGAUCCGCGCCGCAUUAGCUAGUUGGUAAGGUAACGGCUUACCAAGGCAACGAUGCGUAGCCGACCUGAGAGGGUGAUCGGCCACACUGGAACUGAGACACGGUCCAGACUCCUACGGGAGGCAGCAGUAGGGAAUCUUCCGCAAUGGGCGAAAGCCUGACGGAGCAACGCCGCGUGAGUGAUGAAGGUCUUCGGAUCGUAAAACUCUGUUAUUAGGGAAGAACAAAUGUGUAAGUAACUAUGCACGUCUUGACGGUACCUAAUCAGAAAGCCACGGCUAACUACGUG
Molecule: ribosomal RNA, 498 nt
Filed under: uncultured bacterium
Lineage: Bacteria
Description: partial 16S ribosomal RNA
Rfam family: Bacterial small subunit ribosomal RNA
Source: RNAcentral